RNAcentral lists this ribosomal RNA (519 nucleotides) under uncultured eukaryote. Its description in RNAcentral is "bacterial SSU rRNA". It matches the Rfam family "Eukaryotic small subunit ribosomal RNA", at positions 1161 to 1693 of the family's 1831-position model. The record is from RNAcentral.
AGGGCACCACCAGGAGUGGAGCCUGCGGCUUAAUUUGACUCAACACGGGAAAUCUCACCAGGCCCGGACACCGGAAGGAUUGACAGAUUGAGAGCUCUUUCUUGAUUCGGUGGGUGGUGGUGCAUGGCCGUUCUUAGUUGGUGGAGCGAUUUGUCUGGUUAAUUCCGAUAACGAACGAGACUCUGGCCUACUAACUAGACGUUGGAUCCCUUUGUGGGUCCAUCGCAGCUUCUUAGAGGGACAGGCGGCGGUUCAGCCGCACGAAACAGAGCAAUAACAGGUCUGUGAUGCCCUUAGAUGUCCAGGGCCGCACGCGCGCUACACUGAAGUGAUCAGCGUGCAAUUAACGUUUCCUACUCCGUCAGGAGUGGGUAACCCGUUGAACCUUCUUCGCGAUUGGGAUAGGGGAUUGUAAUUAUUCCCCUUGAACGAGGAAUUCCCAGUAAGCGCAAGUCAUAAGCCUGCGUUGAUUACGUCCCUGCCCUUUGUACACACCGCCCGUCGCUACUACCGAUUGAA